RNAcentral lists this ribosomal RNA (357 nucleotides) under uncultured bacterium. RNAcentral describes it as "bacterial SSU rRNA". It matches the Rfam family "Bacterial small subunit ribosomal RNA", at positions 444 to 793 of the family's 1533-position model. The record is from RNAcentral.
GAGGAAGGUGGAUUAUGUUAAUAGCAUAUUCAUUUGACGUUAGCUGCAGAAGAAGCACCGGCUAACUCCGUGCCAGCAGCCGCGGUAAUACGGAGGGUGCGAGCGUUAAUCGGAAUUACUGGGCGUAAAGCGCAUGCAGGUGGUUUGUUAAGUCAGAUGUGAAAGCCCGGGGCUCAACCUCGGAAUUGCAUUGAAACUGGCAAACUAGAGUACUGUAGAGGGGGUAGAAUUUCAGGUGUAGCGGUGAAAUGCGUAGAGAUCUGAAGGAAUACCGGUGGCGAAGGCGGCCCCCUGGACAGAUACUGACACUCAGAUGCGAAAGCGUGGGGAGCAAACAGGAUUAGAUACCCCUGGUAG